ACCCUACGGGAGGCAGCAGUGGGGAAUUUUGGACAAUGGGGGCAACCCUGAUCCAGCAAUGCCGCGUGAGUGAAGAAGGCCUUCGGGUUGUAAAGCUCUUUUGUCAGGGAAGAAACGGUGGUGGCGAAUAACUACUACUAAUGACGGUACCUGAAGAAUAAGCACCGGCUAACUACGUGCCAGCAGCCGCGGUAAUACGUAGGGUGCAAGCGUUAAUCGGAAUUACUGGGCGUAAAGCGUGCGCAGGCAGUUGUGUAAGUCAGAUGUGAAAUCCCCGGGCUCAACCUGGGAAUUGCAUUUGAGACUGCACGGCUAGAGUGUGUCAGAGGGGGGUAGAAUUCCACGUGUAGCAGUGAAAUGCGUAGAUAUGUGGAGGAAUACCGAUGGCGAAGGCAGCCCCCUGGGAUAACACUGACGCUCAUGCACGAAAGCGUGGGGAGCAAACAGGAUUAGAAACCCUUGUAGUCCCAUG
Molecule: ribosomal RNA, 472 nt
Filed under: uncultured organism
Description: partial 16S ribosomal RNA
Rfam family: Bacterial small subunit ribosomal RNA
Source: RNAcentral